This 204-nucleotide unclassified non-coding RNA is filed under the name soil metagenome. Its description in RNAcentral is "partial contains 5.8S ribosomal RNA, internal transcribed spacer 2, and large subunit ribosomal RNA". The record is from RNAcentral.
AACAAGGCGUACCUGCGGACCUGCGGAAGGAUCAUUACCGAGUGUGGUCCCAUAAGGGGCGCCUCCCGUCCUUUGCAGGGCCUUUAGGGGCUUUUUGACUUUGCUUCGGCGGGCUUGUCCCGCCGGAACACCCUCAAGAAAAUCUUUAUGAACCGUUCGUCUGAGUUUGCUUGCGAAUAAAACAAAACUUUUAACAACGGAUCU